CAUGCGCAGACGCCCGGCCGGCGACUGAAGGUGAGGCUGGCUGGUUCUGCUGGCGGGGAGGAGGCGGGUGGUGGGACCGGUAGGGAAGGCUGAGGAGGCGGGCGGGAACCUGUGCUGGGGAAAGCAAGAAGGGAAGAGGAGCAACGUGGGACGAGGAGUUGACGGGAGGAAAGUGCGAGUCCGGGCCCCGGAGAAGGCUGGGAGGGAAGCAGGAACCAGAGCGCGGGCCGGGGAGUGCCUGAAGAAGGGAACCAGUUGCCCGAGGCGGGCGUGAGCUUCGCAGUGGCAAGAAUUUCGUCUGAUUUUCGUCCCCCGGCUCCUGGAGCACGGCCUGGCAUACAACUGGCGCUCCGUAGUCUUCAGCUCUUAUGGAUUGGGAGCUGGGAAAGGAAUGAGAAGACAGAAGUCAGAGACAAGAAGAGGCUAACAUGACUGAUACCGCUGUAAUUUAGUGACCCAAGACAACCCAGACAGCCUCCACCCAUGGGGUC
Molecule: long non-coding RNA, 491 nt
Filed under: Piliocolobus tephrosceles (Ugandan red Colobus)
Lineage: Eukaryota; Metazoa; Chordata; Mammalia; Primates; Cercopithecidae
Description: lncRNA (ENSPTEG00000018086.1)
Source: RNAcentral